Molecule: ribosomal RNA, 429 nt
Filed under: Acidobacteriota bacterium
Lineage: Bacteria; Pseudomonadati; Acidobacteriota
Description: Acidobacteria bacterium partial 16S ribosomal RNA
Rfam family: Bacterial small subunit ribosomal RNA
Source: RNAcentral
UGGGGAAUUUUGGACAAUGGGGAAAACCCUGAUCCAGCCAUCCCGCGUGUGCGAUGAAGGCCUUCGGGUUGUGAAGCACUUUUGGCAGGAAAGAAACGUCAUGGGUUAAUACCCCGUGAAACUGACGGUACCUGCAGAAUAAGCACCGGCUAACUACGUGCCAGCAGCCGCGGUAAUACGUAGGGUGCAAGCGUUAAUCGGAAUUACUGGGCGUAAAGCGUGCGCAGGCGGUUCGGAAAGAAAGAUGUGAAAUCCCAGAGCUCAACUUUGGAACUGCAUUUUUAACUACCGGGCUAGAGUGUGUCAGAGGGAGGUGGAAUUCCGCGUGUAGCAGUGAAAUGCGUAGAUAUGCGGAGGAACACCGAUGGCGAAGGCAGCCUCCUGGGAUAACACUGACGCUCAUGCACGAAAGCGUGGGGAGCAAACAGG